GGUAAAAUGUCUGAGUAAGCAUUAGACUGUAAAUCUAAAGACAGAGGUUCUAACCCUCUUUUUACCA
Molecule: transfer RNA, 67 nt
Filed under: Panthera tigris amoyensis (Amoy tiger)
Lineage: Eukaryota; Metazoa; Chordata; Mammalia; Carnivora; Felidae
Description: tRNA-Tyr
Rfam family: tRNA
About the family: Transfer RNA (tRNA) molecules are approximately 80 nucleotides in length. Their secondary structure includes four short double-helical elements and three loops (D, anti-codon, and T loops).
Source: RNAcentral